Lotus japonicus is the source of this 1844-nucleotide long non-coding RNA. RefSeq lists it as uncharacterized. The transcript is spliced from 2 exons. Lineage: Eukaryota; Viridiplantae; Streptophyta; Magnoliopsida; Fabales; Fabaceae. The record is from RefSeq and is a predicted model, not a curated record.
GUCCCUCUGGAGCUCUGAGUCAACGCCGAAGCUCCGGUGGCUCAUGUGGCAUGACCACGUGGGAUUAAUGAGGCCAGGUGGAUUUUUUUAUUUAUUUUUCAUUUAAAUUAUAAUAUAAAUCUUAAUUUAUAAAACAGAUAUUAAUUAAUCAUCCAAGGAUUUCUUUUAUUCUUUAUCUUAAUUUUCUAAAGCUUCAUCACCGUUCACCAUCACCAACAUCUUCUUCUCCCCCAUGAAACUCUGAAACCACAAACUUCUCAUAACCUUUUCUUCAACACCCUCCAUCAAAAUCCAAAGCUCCAUUCUCAACCCCAUCAAAAUUCUAACCUGAACCUCUAACUUUCUCUCGUCCAGUCAGCACAGGAAAGCAUCACGAGAAAUUGAAUAUGUUUCCUCCAGAAGCUCCAACAGCGAGCACUCUCCAGAUCGAAGAUGGUUCCUUCGGAGACCAGAUCGACGACGAUUCCUUCCUCCAGAUCUACAACUCACUAAAACCCCCUCACCCUCACUAAAAAAUUCAAACAGAUCUUGAAAAAUAUGGGCCUCUCAUGGUAUCAAGGUGGUUCCUUUGAUGGAUUUAUGCAAUUCAUAGCCUUCACGUGAGAAAGAAUUGUCGCUCCAUCAUAUCUCGUCGUCGCCGGCGCCAGAUGCAGAAGGAGGAGAAAAGGUUAAGGGAUCUGGGGAAUUGAGAUCUCGCCGCCGCCGCUCCAGAUCUCGUCAUUUUCCCCAAAGGUCGUGGUGGUACUUUGAUAUGUCUAUGAAGAAGGUGGUAGGAUUCAAAUUGGAGGAUUCAAAGGUUGUGCACCUUUGUUGAUGGAUAAUCAAUUGAUUAUAAAAACAAAGCAAACACAACAAAAAUUUGGAAAAUUUCUGGGUAACCUUGUUCAGUUCAGUGUUUCUUGUUUCAAUCUGUGUUCAAUUAGGUGAGUGGGUUUGUGUAGGUAUGUGAAAGGGAAGAUGAAGAAAAGAAGGAAGAGAUGGAUGAAGAACAAAAUCUGGGUUUUUGAUGAAAGAUGUGGACAUGAAGAGAUUUAUAAUUAAUAAUUAGGUGAGGGAUUAAAUUAGUAAAUUAGGUUUUAAUUACAGAGGUUAAUUUCCUUUUUUUAAGAAUUUAAAUGAAAAAUAAAUAAAAAAAUCCACAUGGCCUCAUUAAUCCCACGUGGUCAUGCCACAUGAGCCACUGGAGCUCCGGCGUUGACCCAGAGCUCCGGAGGGACCAAAACCAAACAUUUUGACAAAGGUUAGGGACUAAUACCCACCUUUACUCCGGCGAGGGACGAAAACCAAGUAUUUACUAAAGGUCAGGGACCAAAAACUUAUUUAAGCCUUAAUUCUUCUAAUCUUUGUUGAUCUUUGAUGUGCUUUUAUAACCAUUAUAUAUUGAAAAUUAAUGGAAGGUAUUCCAACCAAGUGUCUUUGCCUUCUCAGUGCAAUCCAUCUAUAAGCUAACAGUGAUCAGGAUCGAUAUGGAGAAAGAAGGGAAUGAAGAUGAAGAUGUAACGAAGUGCACUUAUUUUUGCAAACUAUGCUACUCGCUUCUUGUUACCUGAUUCGAAGAGAGAUCGAUGCAGGAAAAGAAGGCAAGUCAUGAUGGCAAAGGGAAGGUAACGCCUUUCUUCCAGAUUCAAUUCAUCGAGCUGCUCGUGAAGUCGGUCAUUCACAUGGUGCAUGUUACCCAGUUUGUUCUUUAGUCUCAAAUAAGUACUGCUACAGUAUGUGUUAUUGUUGAAUGCUUGUGAUUGUCUAUGUUAUGUUUCUUUUAACACACAUGGUUCAUGUAAUUUUAAAUCUUUGACAGAGACUUCCAUAAAUUUCUAAAGCAACCUACAAAUUUCAAAAUCAAA